UUACAUAGAGUUGUUUUGCCCUUACUUUAUCUGUUUAUUACUUACCUUUUUUCCUAUACCAUUAAUGAGAAUAACCAGACAGCUCAUGGUCAACUUGUCUGCUUAGCCAUUACAUAUUGUUGUUUCACCCUUACUUUAUCUACUUUUUACUUACCUUUUUUUUAGAAUUCUGUUAAUCCUACAUGCUUUCAACCCUUUUUGGUAAACUGCUCUGCAUCACUUUUGAACUUGUCAUUAUCAUGGUGGGACCUAUUUAAAAUUCUAUUCCUAUACUAUUGUUAUUUUUCUAACAAAAUUUCACAUGGCCUAUCAAUAUUCAUAUACUAUAAAUGAGAAUAACCAGGCAGCUCAUGGUCAACAUGUCUGCCUGGCUAAUAUAUAGAGUUGUUUUGCCCUUACUUUAUCUGCUUAUUACUUACCUUUUUUCUUAAGUUUUCUGUAAAUCCUACAUGCUUUGAAGCCUUUUUGGUAAACUGCUCUGCAUCACUUUUGAACUUGUCAUUAUCAUGGUUGUACCUAUUUAAAAUUCUAUUCCUAUACUAUUGUUAUCUUCCUAACAAAAUUUCACAUGGCCUAUCAAUAUUCCUAUACUAUAAAUGAGAAUAACCAGGCAGCUCAUGGUCAAUAUGUCUGCGUGGCUUUUACAUUGAGUUGUUUCGCCCUUACUUUAUCUGUUUAUCACUUACCUUUUUUCUUUAGUUUUCUGUAUAUCCUACAUGCUUUGAGCCCUUUUUGGUAAACUGCUCUGCAUCACCUUU
Molecule: long non-coding RNA, 758 nt
Filed under: Nicotiana tabacum (common tobacco)
Lineage: Eukaryota; Viridiplantae; Streptophyta; Magnoliopsida; Solanales; Solanaceae
Description: long non-coding RNA (NTAB_LNC007041)
Source: RNAcentral